Molecule: ribosomal RNA, 242 nt
Filed under: uncultured bacterium
Lineage: Bacteria
Description: partial 16S ribosomal RNA
Rfam family: Bacterial small subunit ribosomal RNA
Source: RNAcentral
CAAGCGUUGUUCGGAUUUACUGGGCGUAAAGAGCGCGCAGGCGGUCGAUCAAGUCGAGUGUGAAAGCCCCCGGCUCAACUGGGGAGGGUCAUUCGAUACUGAUCGACUCGAAGGCAGGAGAGGGUAGUGGAAUUCCCGGUGUAGUGGUGAAAUGCGUAGAUAUCGGGAGGAACGCCUGCGGCGAAGGCGGGUUGCUGGGCUGAUACUGACGCUGAGGCGCGAAAGCCAGGGGAGCGAACGGG